This 468-nucleotide ribosomal RNA is filed under the name uncultured bacterium. RNAcentral's name for it is "partial 16S ribosomal RNA". It matches the Rfam family "Bacterial small subunit ribosomal RNA", at positions 28 to 507 of the family's 1533-position model. The record is from RNAcentral.
GACGAACGCUGGCGGCGUGCUUAACACAUGCAAGUCGAACGGAAAGGCCCUGCUUUUGUGGGGUGCUCGAGUGGCGAACGGGUGAGUAACACGUGAGUAACCUGCCCUUGACUUUAGGAUAACUUCAGGAAACUGGGGCUAAUACCGGAUAGGAGCUCCUGCUGCAUGGUGGGGGUUGGAAAGUUUCGGCGGUUGGGGAUGGACUCGCGGCUUAUCAGCUUGUUGGUGGGGUAGUGGCUUACCAAGGCUUUGACGGGUAGCCGGCCUGAGAGGGUGACCGGCCACAUUGGGACUGAGAUACGGCCCGGACUCCUACGGGAGGCAGCAGUGGGGAAUAUUGCACAAUGGGCGGAAGCCUGAUGCAGCAACGCCGCGUGCGGGAUGACGGCCUUCAGGUUGUAAACCGCUUUCGCCUGUGACGAAGCGUGAGUGACGGUAAUGGGUAAAGAAGCACCGGCUAACUACGUG